AUGACUGACGAGAGGAUCGCCGUUGUGUUUUCUAAGAAAUCAUUUCCACUGAGCAAACUCAAGUCAAGGGGCACUUUAUGUUUCACACGGCGGCAUACAUGCAGCGCGCUGGGACCGAGCACGUGCAAGCUUAAGUUUAAAUGGAGUAACAUAUGUGGGCUUCGUCGAACCACACAAAAUACUGGUGAAAGUGAAAGCUCUUACCGAUCAUUAGCAGAUAACAAGUCGUCUUGUCCAGAGCAUGCAGAACCCCACUCACUUUGGACGAGUCACAGAUACUUUGUCAAAGCAAAGACCGUAGCUGUUUUUUAUAAGAUUUCCUAUAGUAGUUUAUGCAUCGUGUAA
Molecule: ribosomal RNA, 345 nt
Filed under: Triticum aestivum (bread wheat)
Lineage: Eukaryota; Viridiplantae; Streptophyta; Magnoliopsida; Poales; Poaceae
Description: partial small subunit ribosomal RNA
Source: RNAcentral